CAAUACAAACAACAAGAAGUAUAGUGGUUCGGUGCUCUCCUAAGCACCUACGUCCACUCCCCAAGCGACCCCUUGAGAAUUCACUAUAAUCCCGCGGAUUACAGUUGGAUUGUUUUUCGGGCUCACAAUCCAAAAAUCUUUACACUUUGGUUUUCCGGGUUCACCAAAAACCUAUGUUGGUUUUACGGGCUCACCAACGAACCUAUGUUGGUUUUCCGGGCUCACCAACGAACCUUUACAAUUGGUUUUACGGGUUCACCAAUCAACCUACACCGUUGGUUUUGCGGGCUUACCAACUAACCUUUACAAGGAGUUUAAUAAACGAAGUAAGAAGAUUUAAGCUCCUAGAUGAGC
RNAcentral lists this long non-coding RNA (354 nucleotides) under Phoenix dactylifera (date palm). Its description in RNAcentral is "long non-coding RNA (PDAC_LNC010016)". Lineage: Eukaryota; Viridiplantae; Streptophyta; Magnoliopsida; Arecales; Arecaceae. The record is from RNAcentral.